RNAcentral lists this long non-coding RNA (1374 nucleotides) under Monodelphis domestica (gray short-tailed opossum). Its description in RNAcentral is "lncRNA (ENSMODG00000050442.1)". The record is from RNAcentral. Lineage: Eukaryota; Metazoa; Chordata; Mammalia; Didelphimorphia; Didelphidae.
GUCCAUUGAUGUAAUUUCUGAAAAAUUACCCAAUUUCCCAGAACCUCAAGUUCUUCCUUACCAACUGGCUGAUGGUGAGAAUUGAGAUGAUUCAAAAGAAAUGUGUAAGAAGGCUAGAUUAAUCAUAUCAAGAAUUUGAUGCAAAUAAACUCAAAUAAAGGUAAUGGAGGAAUACAAGGCAUCAGAGAUUUCUGGAAGGUCUUAGAAGAACCCAGAUUCAAUUGGUCAAGAUCUCCUACCCAGGGGAAAGUUUUUAUUACAUGUAAUUUGUUUUAAAAAAAAAAGAAUUAAAAAAAAUAUGUCCUACUUAAUUGCUUUAUUUGGGGUAUUGGAAGUAGAUAGGAGGGCUCUAGAGAGGCAGACCAAGAACUAUCCUAUUUGGUGAUUGAGUUGGCAAAUAAACACCCAACAGGUAAAUUAUGAGGGCAUAGAUCCCUCAGUUACCUUUCACCCCCUUAAACCAUUAGCACACAGGGAAAAGGUCCUUUACUAAUGAUGAGCCUGGGGCCUUGAAAAGAGUUAAUGGACCUCCCAGGGGGGAAACCAUUCACUCUCCAAAAGGGGAUUUGGCUCAUUCUCACUCUAUGGAGCAGCCCCUUCAAGCAUUAUCAGUGGAAGUCCUUCAUUAAUGUCUUUCAGAUGAAAUAAAUAGCUUUGGUUGCUCAUUUUGCUCUGGGCUUUUGUCAGAGGGCACUUCCAUCCAAGGUGUCUGGCAGAGAGUCAGGUCUCCAAGAAGAAGAACAGCUCUCAAAGACUAAAAAAAAAAGCCAAAGACCUUCCUUUUACUGGAAGCUGCCUCCUGCCUUUUCUUGCCCCUUCACUAAGAGUUUUUUUGUAUACUAAGCCUGAAUAUGGCGGCUGACCUUAGAUGGAAUGAUAGGCUGUCAAAGCGUUUCAAGUGUGGUAAAGCCCAGCUAAGGCUGACAUAACGAUGAGAAUUCUCGAAGGAAUAUGAGACGCUGGAAUGCAUUACAAAGGAAGACUGUGGAAUCCCUUCCCAUCCCCAUUUUUUUUCUUGAAGAUUUUUUGUAAAUCCAUCUGUCAAACUGCAGGGACGAGGCAAUAUUCCAGCUUUGUUGCAGCAUCUUGGAGGCAAAUGGCGAGAAAGAGAGAGGAUUUGGACCACAUAAGGAGGAUGGCAAUUUCCAAAACUGAAAAAGAAAGCUGUGGUCUGUUUGUGAAAGAUGCUAGUUGGGACUCAACUGGCCUGGAGUCCUGGACAGAAGCUGAGAAACCUCAUUCAUGAUUGCCAUCUGCUGGAGAGAGAAAGAAGGAAGUCCUGGGAGAUUCUAAGACCAUAACAGGAGGAAAGAAAUGUUGGAACCCCAGGAAAAGUUCCAAAAUCUUGCUAAUUCCCAGUGUAGGAUUCCUUGU